GAAAUUUUAAAAUUUGAAAAAUAUAAAGACAUAAAAUGAUCUAAUUAGAGAAUAUUGAUUAAAUCUACAAUUAUACACAUAGUAUAGUACUAGUAACUGAAUUUAACCAAAACUUAUAAUUAAUUAAUAUUUAAUUAUGUUAAAAAAAAUUAUUUUUUGGUAGAAAGGAUCAGCACAAAACGAUUACAAUCUUAAAAGUACUAUCAACUUAGAGAAAAAGUACUACGCCCAGCUAUCAAUACAUACCUUACUGAAUUUAGAGGCUUCUAAAACAGUUGUACGUUACCUAAUCCACUUGAAGCUAUUUUGGUCAUAUGAUCAGCAACCUUAUUUUGAGAUCUCAAAACGUGACGAAGCCUUACUUUCUAGUCCCACUUGAGCAAAUAAUGUAUUAAGCGUAACUCCCCCAAUUUGUUAUUGGCUAUUCCACCAGCUAAAAUUAAUUCUACCAGAAGCGCGUUGUUGCAUUCCAGCUCAUGCUUUAUGUAUCUGUUCUCCCAUGCUAUUUGAAGACCUUGUAGCACAACUCUUGCUUCAACCUUAAAAAUGGUGUCCUUGCCUAUCCAUAAUGAAAAACCACACAACCAGUUUGCAUCAGCAUCUCUAAACACAUCCCCAAGAGAAGCUCCUGAUCUAUUUUCAUUUUAUAUGUUUGAAACCUUACUUUCCAGUCCCGCUUGAGCAAAAAAUUAUUGGAUUAGAGAAUCAUAUUCAAUAAUAAAAAGAACCCAUAGAUGAAGGGGGUCUAGUAUUAGAUGCACAAAAACAAGAAAAUUUGAAAUCAGAUCUCUCAAACCAAUAAAAGAUGAAGAAGAUUAUAAUAAAUCAGACAACAACAAAAACCCAAAGAAAAAGCAAUAUAAGAGCAACAUGGAAGUAAAGCUUGAUUUCUUCCUAAAAAGGUAUUUGUGUUUUCAAUUGAGCUUGUUUAUGUCAAUUAUUUUUUUAUUAAUAAUUAUUUAUUAGUAACAAUAAUUAGUACUUUAAAAAUUUUGAUGUUAUUUUUAUUUUUCAAUGAGUGUGCAUAAAAUUAAAUAUUUUAAAAAAAUAAACAAGCAAUCGACGAUAACAACAAAUUUACAUCACUAACCAAGAGCGAAGCAAGAAAAAAUUUUAAAAGUCCAAAAUUAAAUUAUAAUUUUUACGAUAGUAAAGAUAUAAUUUUAUCAUACUAAUAGUUUAUAUCUUUACAAUUUUUAAAAAAUUAAAUUAAUUUUUUUAUCAUUUUUGAGAGAUAAAUACAAAUUUAUAUUAUUAAUUUAAAAUUUUUAAAAUUUUAAAAUACGUAAAUAAAAAUUAUUUUUAUAGUCCCUAAAUACCCGCCCCUGGCCAACUACUCAACAAUAGAAACACUGUCAUCCAGUCAAUUAUUUUAUCCAAAAUAUCCACAUUCAUACAGUAAUUCUAUGUCCAUUUUCCAACACUUCCUUAUUAAUUUCGAUAAUUUAAAUUCUAUUAAUUUUAUGGUAUGUUUCUAAAAUUUAAAAUUUUAAUGAAUAAUUAUUAAAUUCAUUAAGUUUUGAUAUUUCUAACAUAUGAUGCGGCAAAAGUAUUAUUUUAUACGUAAUAUUAUGUUAGCUUGUUGUUUCCAUAUAUUACUCACUUAAAAUCCUUAUAAUGGAUUAACUUAUUUGCGUCAAUACUGAAAUUCUAAAAUUUGAAAAGUAGAAGAACAUAAAAUGGUCCAUUUAGAUAAUAUUGAUUAAAUCUAUAAUUAUAUGCAUAGUACAGUACUAGAAAUUGAAUUUAACCAAAACUUAUAAUUAAUUAAUAUUUAAUUAUGUUAAAUAAAAUUAUUAGUAUUUAUUUAUAAAUCAUUUAUGAUUUUUUAAUUUUAUCUCAAUUAUGAAAUGUUAUACACCACCAAACAUAUCAAAUAUUAUUUCAUAAAUUGUUAAUAUAAAUUAAAUUCAAUAAUUAAAUCAAUUCAAAUACGAAAGAAAAAUCAUAUAAAUUAAUACAUGGUGGGACAAAUCUCCGUUGUCACCAAAACUUUCAAGGGCUAAUUUUUCUUCUUGGUACCUACAUAAUUGGGUGUGCAUAAAAGUCCAAAUGUCGGCAUGACUAACAUUACAUCAAUCUAGUUUGACGAAAAAUAUGUUACAAAAGCAUAAUUUUCUAUGUCCAAGAUUCUGGUAAACUUAAUGCAUACUAGUUAAUUAUUUUAUUCAAAAUAUCUAUAUCAAAAAGUGACAAUAUGUCUAUUUGCACCCUAAAUUAUUAAUUAACGAUUAAGUUCGACAAUUCAACUUAAAAUUUAUAUUUUUUAUAUUAUUUUUAUUUUUCACCCAAGUAAUCAGUGUACAUAAAAUUAAUAUUUAAAGAUUACCCAACUAAUAACAUUCGAAACACAGUUCUAGUAAUCAUACAACUUUAAUAUAUAUAUAUAUAUAUAAACAUGAAUGACUUUAUAAAAAAUUAAUUUAAUGCAUUCCAGUCAAUUAUUUUAUUCAGAUUCAUAAAGUACUUGUAUGUCCAUUUGCUCCCUAAACCAUUCAACACUUCUUUAUUAAUUUUGACAAUUUAAAUUUACUAUUUUUUAAGAUUUUUAUGGACCAAACAUAUUAUCAGAUAUAUAAGAAUAAUUUUUUUAUUAAUUUUUAUGUUUUUAAAAUUUAAAAUUUUAGUUCUUAUAAAAGAAUUACUAUUAAAUUUAUUAAGUUUCGAUAUUUUUACUAUAUGAUGCGACAAAUGUGUUAUCUUAUGUUAGUUUGUUGUUUCCACAUAUAACUCACUUAAAAUCCUGAUAACGGAUUAACUCAUUUGUGUUAAGACUGAAAUUUUAAAUUUUGAAAAAUAUAAGGACAUAAAAUGAUCUAAUUAGAGAAUAUUGAUUAAAUCUACAAUUAUACCCAUAGUAUAGUACUAGUAACUGAAUUCAACCAAAACUUAUAAUUAAUUAAUAUUUAAUUAUGUUAAAAAAAAUUAUUUUUUGGUAGAAAGGAUCAGCACAAAAAGAUUACAAUCUUAAAAGUACUAUCAACUUAGAGAAAAGUACUACGCCUAGCUAUCAAUACAUACCUUCCUGAAUCUGGAGGCUUCUAAAACAGUUGUACGUUGCCUAAUCCACUUGAAGCUAUUUUGGUCAUAUGAUCAGCAACCUUAUUUUGAGAUCUCAGAACGUGACGAAGCCUUACUUUCUAGUCCCACUUGAGCAAAUAAUGUAUUAAGCGUACCUCCCCCAAUUUGCUAUUGGCUAUUCCACCAGCUAAAAUUAAUUCUACCAGAAGCGCGUUGUUGCAUUCCAGCUCAUGCUUUAUGUAUCUAUUCUCCCAUGCUCUUUGAAGACCUUGUAGCACAACUCUUGCUUCAACCUUAAAAAAUGGUGUCCUUGCCUAUCCAUAAUGAAAAGCCACACAGCCAAUUUGCAUCAGCAUCUCUAAACACAUCCCCAAUAGAAGCUCCUGAUCUAUUCUCAUUUUAUAUGUUUGAAACCUUACUUUCCAGUCUCGCUUGAGCAAAAAAAUUAUUGGAUUAGAGAAUCAUAAUCAAGAAUAAAAAGAACCCAUAGAUGAAUGGGUUCUAGUAUCAUAUGCACAAAAACAAGAAAAUUUGAAAUCAGAUCUCUCAAACCAAUAAGAGAUGAAGAAGAUUAUAAUAAAUCAGACAACAACAAAAACGUGAAGAAAAAGCAAUAUAAGAGCAACAUGGAAGUAAAGCUUGAUUUCUUC
Molecule: long non-coding RNA, 3671 nt
Filed under: Gossypium barbadense (sea-island cotton)
Lineage: Eukaryota; Viridiplantae; Streptophyta; Magnoliopsida; Malvales; Malvaceae
Description: long non-coding RNA (GBAR_LNC016742)
Source: RNAcentral